Molecule: ribosomal RNA, 433 nt
Filed under: uncultured bacterium
Lineage: Bacteria
Description: partial 16S ribosomal RNA
Rfam family: Bacterial small subunit ribosomal RNA
Source: RNAcentral
AACGAACGCUGGCGGCAUGCCUAACACAUGCAAGUCGAACGAGACCUUCGGGUCUAGUGGCGCACGGGUGCGUAACGCGUGGGAACCUGCCCUUAGGUUCGGAAUAACUCCCCGAAAGGGGUGCUAAUACCGGAUAAUGUCUUCGGACCAAAGAUUUAUCGCCUUUGGAUGGGCCCGCGUUGGAUUAGCUAGUUGGUAGGGUAAAAGCCUACCAAGGCGACGAUCCAUAGCUGGUCUGAGAGGAUGAUCAGCCACACUGGGACUGAGACACGGCCCAGAAUCCUACGGGAGGCAGCAGUGGGGAAUAUUGGACAAGGGGCGAAAGCCUGAUCCAGCAAUGCCGCGUGAGUGAUGAAGGCCUUAGGGUUGUAAAGCUCUUUUACCCGGGAUGAUAAUGACAGUACCGGGAGAAUAAGCUCCGGCUAACUCCGUG